Molecule: ribosomal RNA, 404 nt
Filed under: uncultured bacterium
Lineage: Bacteria
Description: bacterial SSU rRNA
Rfam family: Bacterial small subunit ribosomal RNA
Source: RNAcentral
GUAGGGAAUAUUGCACAAUGGGCGAAAGCCUGAUGCAGCAACGCCGCGUGCGCGAUGACGGCCUCGGGUUGUAAAGCGCUUUUCGGGGAGAUGAGGAAGGACAGUAUCCCCGGAAUAAGGCUCGGCUAACUACGUGCCAGCAGCCGCGGUAACACGUAGGAGCCAAGCGUUAUCCGAAUUCACUGGGCGUAAAGCGCGUGUAGGCGGCUUAUUAAGUUGGAUGUGAAAGCUCCUGGCUCAGCUGGGAGAGGACGUUCAAAACUGGUAGGCUAGAGGGCGACAGAGGGAGGUGGAAUUCCCGGUGUAGUGGUGAAAUGCGUAGAUAUCGGGAGGAAUACCAGUGGCGAAGGCGGCCUCCUGGGUCGCACCUGACGCUCAGACGCGAAAGCUAGGGUAGCAAACGG